RNAcentral lists this ribosomal RNA (645 nucleotides) under uncultured bacterium. RNAcentral's name for it is "bacterial SSU rRNA". It matches the Rfam family "Bacterial small subunit ribosomal RNA", at positions 110 to 753 of the family's 1533-position model. The record is from RNAcentral.
GUAACACGUAUACAAUCUGCCCGUAACUGGGGCAUAGCCCGGAGAAAUCCGGAUUAAUACCCCAUAUUAUAAGGACAUGGCAUCAUGACUUUAUCAAAGCUCCGGCGGUUACGGAUGAGUAUGCGCAACAUUAGCUAGUUGGUGAGGUAAAGGCCCACCAAGGCGACGAUGUUUAGGGGGUCUGAGAGGAUGAUCCCCCACACUGGUACUGAGACACGGACCAGACUCCUACGGGAGGCAGCAGUAGGGAAUAUUGGUCAAUGGACGCAAGUCUGAACCAGCCAUGCCGCGUGCAGGAAGAAGGUCCUAUGGAUUGUAAACUGCUUUUCUACGGGAAGAAACCCCUGGAUGCGUCCGGGGCUGACGGUACCGUAGGAAUAAGGAUCGGCUAACUCCGUGCCAGCAGCCGCGGUAAGACGGAGGAUCCAAGCAUUGUCCGGAUUUACUGGGUUUAAAGGGUGCGUAGGCGGAUAACUAAGUCAGUGGUGAAAGCCUGUAGCUUAACUACAGAAGUGCCACUGAAACUGGUUGUCUUGAGUACGGUUGAGGUUGUUGGAAUGCAUCAUGUAGCGGUGAAAUGCUUAGAUAUGAUACAGAACACCAAUUGCGAAGGCAGACAACUAAGCCGUAACUGACGCUGAGGCA